Molecule: ribosomal RNA, 378 nt
Filed under: uncultured bacterium
Lineage: Bacteria
Description: bacterial SSU rRNA
Rfam family: Bacterial small subunit ribosomal RNA
Source: RNAcentral
UAAUACGGAGGGUGCAAGCGUUAAUCGGAAUUACUGGGCGUAAAGCGCACGCAGGCGGUUUGUUAAGUCAGAUGUGAAAUCCCCGAGCUUAACUUGGGAACUGCAUUUGAAACUGGCAAGCUAGAGUCUUGUAGAGGGGGGUAGAAUUCCAGGUGUAGCGGUGAAAUGCGUAGAGAUCUGGAGGAAUACCGGUGGCGAAGGCGGCACCCUGGACAAAGACUGACGCUCAGGUGCGAAAGCGUGGGGAGCAAACAGGAUUAGAUACCCUGGUAGUCCACGCUGUAAACGAUGUCGACUUGGAGGUUGUGCCCUUGAGGCGUGGCUUCCGGAGCUAACGCGUUAAGUCGACCGCCUGGGGAGUACGGCCGCAAGGUUAAA